This 460-nucleotide ribosomal RNA is filed under the name uncultured bacterium. RNAcentral's name for it is "partial 16S ribosomal RNA". It matches the Rfam family "Bacterial small subunit ribosomal RNA", at positions 338 to 795 of the family's 1533-position model. The record is from RNAcentral.
CCUACGGUGGGCAGCAGUGAGGAAUAUUGGUCAAUGGGCGCAAGCCUGAACCAGCCAAGUCGCGUGAGGGAAGACGGCCCUACGGGUUGUAAACCUCUUUUGCCGGGGAGCAAGCCUGAGCACGUGUGCCCAGGCGGAGAGUACCCGGAGAAAAAGCAUCGGCUAACUCCGUGCCAGCAGCCGCGGUAAUACGGAGGAUGCGAGCGUUAUCCGGAUUUAUUGGGUUUAAGGGUUGCGCAGGCGGGUUGUUAGGUAGGCGGUAAAAGUUCAGGGCUCAACCCUGUCGUGCCGUCGGAACUGGCAGUCUUGAGUGGGCGAGAAGUAGGCGGAAUGCGUGGUGUAGCGGUGAAAUGCAUAGAGAUCACGCAGAACGCCGAUUGCGAAGGCAGCAUACCGGCGCCCAACUGACGCUGAGGCACGAAAGCGUGGGGAGCGAACAGGAUUAGAUACCCGGGUAGUC